AGCUCCAAUAGCGUAUAUUAAAGUUGUUGUGGUUAAAAAGCUCGUAGUUGGAUCUCAACACUGACUUUUUUACCCGUGUGUUUUGCCAGAAUCUUACGGGUGAUCUUUACCGAUUGUCCGUUGGAACUGGCAGGUUUACUUUGAAAAAAUUAGAGUGCUCAAAGCAAGCUUACUGCUUGAAUAGUUGCGCAUGGAAUAAUAGAAUAGGAAGUCGUUUCUAUUUUGUUGGUUUUCGGAAAUCGACUUAAUGAUUAAUAGGGAUAGUCGGGGGCAUUCGUAUUCAAACGACAGAGGUGAAAUUCUUGGACCGUUUGAAGACGAACUAAGGCGAAAGCAUUUGCCAAGAAUGUUUUCA
This 355-nucleotide ribosomal RNA is filed under the name marine copepod environmental sample. RNAcentral's name for it is "SSU rRNA". It matches the Rfam family "Eukaryotic small subunit ribosomal RNA", at positions 587 to 972 of the family's 1831-position model. The record is from RNAcentral. Lineage: Eukaryota; Metazoa; Arthropoda; Copepoda.